CGUAUAUUUAAGUUGUUGCAGUUAAAAAGCUCGUAGUUGGAUUUUGGUUAAGGGGGCGCGGUCGGCCGUUUGGUCUGUACUGCGUUGUCUUGACUUCCUGAUGAGGACAUGCUCUUGGUUAACGCUGAGACAUGGAGUCAUCGUGGUUACUUUGAAAAAAUUAGAGUGUUCAAAGCGGGCUUACGCUUGAAUAUAUUAGCAUGGAAUAACACUAUAGGACUCCUGUCCUAUCUCGUUGGUCUCGGGAUGGGAGUAAUGAUUAAGAGGAACAGUUGGGGGCAUUCGUACUUCAUUGUCAGAGGUGAAAUUCUUGGAUUUAUGAAAGACGAACUUCUGCGAAAGCAUUUGCCAAGGAUGUUUUCAUUAAUCAAGAACGAAAGUUGGGGGCUCGAAGAUGAUUAGAUACCAUCCUAGUCUCAACCAUAAACGAUGCCGACUAGGGAUUGGUGGAUGUUAAUUGAUGACUUCACCAGCACCUUAUGAGAAAUCAAAGUUUUUGGGUUCCGGGGGGAGUAUGGUCGCAAGGCUGAAACUUAAAGGAAUUG
RNAcentral lists this ribosomal RNA (545 nucleotides) under uncultured Chlorophyta. RNAcentral describes it as "SSU rRNA". It matches the Rfam family "Eukaryotic small subunit ribosomal RNA", at positions 598 to 1155 of the family's 1831-position model. Lineage: Eukaryota; Viridiplantae; Chlorophyta. The record is from RNAcentral.